AUGGCAAGAACAAUGGACUGACCAGACCAUCUGAAAUCCCUGGAACUACAUGAUAUCAGAUCCCUAACAACGCACAUAAUACCUACAAAGUAGCUGAUGCAAAAAUAAGUCCAAAAAUAGUUAUUUAUUUUUCUAAACCCAAAAUACAGUUAGGGAGACCUCGAGACAGAUAGUUUACAGGUCGGUGAAAGAGGCUGGUGACAAAAUUGAGACACCACAAUACCUACAGAUAUGACAAAGACAUGAGAAACGGUUGACCUGGCAAUGUUGUUCAGUGUUAAAACAAUCCCAAAAAUGACAUUGAGAAAUCUAUCCUGGCCUAGAGAAAUGAGCUUAGACGGACUUUACAGAAUGCUAAUUCAUGCACUAAACUUCUCCCAGAAAUAAUCAUGUAUUGCAGAUUGAGUAAUUAGCGGUGUUGCGUCAAGAACUAUAGAGAAUUCUUGUUUGCAUUAGUACAAACAAUAAAAUCAAAAGGCAGGCAUGACUGUGUUCACAAGAGAGAAAUGCCAACUUGUUCUUAUUCACCAAAUUCUUCUGCUGGAUUAUUCCUCUUCUUUCUCAGAUCUGCACACAUCUGUUCAGAGAAGCCAGAUAUUAGGAAAUCAAACCAGAGUGACAAAGGAUGGAGCACCUAACAGAGGUUUGUGAACUACCUCUUCAUGCCACGCCAUAAGAUGAUUACUUUCAGCCAGAUUGAUUCCAUGUUUCUGUGAAUAAAACAUAUUGCACGUGACUGGAUCUUAAUGUUAUAGAUUAGCAAGCAUCUCUAGAUUCAAUCACCAUAUAUAUCUUACUCCUAAAGUUACAGGGUAACCGUAAUCAUCUACUUACAAUUUCCAAGACAUUCUUUAUAAAUGUUAUACUACAUGGCACAUGCCUAUGUCCAAAAGGGCAAUAAUAUGCAACUCAAGGAUCAUAUUCAUGUGGUGCCGUAAUUGCAUCCCACAAAAAGAAACCUAUAGGCCUAAGAAACAGAGUAAAUAUCAAUAAUACAUCAUUACCAUGAAAGAAUUUCUCUCCUAGAAAUUCAUAUCAAAGAGAGUGUGCACAGAAGCAACCCAUACAGGUCAACUCAAGAUAUUUAAAUGAACGUAUUCAAAGAUAUUCCACGACCUUAUUUACGGAAUUUAGACAAUUUUUGCUGCCAAGGUUAGAGCAUUGCCUAGUCUGUUUCUGGCACAAAAACAAUCUUAACCCAGCCUGCAGCUGAAUAACGUGAAAUAAGAUUUAAGAAUAAGACCAAUAAUUAGUACGUGUUGUACAAAGAAAUCUUAGCUACAGAAGGAGUUUUGUGAACAAAUUAAGAUAGUUAAAUGAGUGAAAGGACAGUACCAGAUGACCCCGGCUCCCAGCUCACUGCACACAGAAAUUUGCUAACUUAUUUCCAGGAUCAAACAAUUUGGAAGCUUUGUAUUGUACAAUAAGAAAACCCAAAAGAAGUUUCAUGAUUGCAAUCUAAUUAAAGAACAUGUCCUCCUCAGUCAGAGAUUCAUUUAAUAAAAAAGAGAGAAAGGAUCAAGAGCACAUCACACAGGUCUACUGAGAUCAGGAGCGGACAAGAACAACGGGCAUUCAUGUUUCAUCAUCAAUGCCUCCUAUAAUAUACGCAAUCUGUAAAAAAUGUGAACCUAAAAAUGUGGUGAAACCAAAAGAAAACACACUGUAAAUAGAUGUAAAAGGGACAUGCUCGUUAAACUUUGCAAUCCCUUCCAAGGAACUUUUUAUGAAAAGAAAAUUUCGAGUAAGUACAAGAAGUGUCCAGUCUUCCGAACACAUGUGCUGGGAAUGGACUACAAAACAAGCCAGUGUUCUCAAAUUAUGUUUGGUACUACACCGAGCUUCUUAAAUCAUGAGGAAAUUGGACCCUCCACAACACUGUCCAAUGCACACUGCACGGGGUCCUGGAGUUCCGCAAAAAAUUGGAAUCAACGCCAGAAUUCAGUAAGAACCAGUAUAUGAACAUCAGAAUCAAAAUAAGAGAAGGAACAUGUAGUACUCAAGAUGUACAACAACAUACACUUGUAAGAUAUUAUAUAUCUGUAUGAAUGUGCGAAAUACAUGGGGCUCUAAACUAUGAAUCAAUUAUUAAGUAAUAAUGUUACUUUGGCCACUUCAUUGCUUCACUGUCCUUAUCUCAGGACAACAUGUCGUGCAUAUUUAGAAACCAUGACAUCUAUAUCAACUGCACUAAUAUGGCAAACAAUCAGUUAACUGAAUUAUCUAUUAUACCAUGAUUUAAUGUGACACAAGAGGACAAAGAGGAGACAACUUAAAUGAACAAAUUAUCUGUCUAAUACUUCCAACAUAAACAAAGAAGCCGCAACCAAAGUGUGAGAAUCGGAAGGGAAUACUGAAGCGAACAUGGGUGCAAAGAAAUACAUGACUGAACUGGAGAAAAUGAAAGCAGACCACUCCAAAACAAUAAGAAACCUAUAGUCGUUAAUGCACAAACUAAAUCUCAUUGAGGAGGAGAUUUAGCCUAGUCUGUUUCUGGCACAAUUACAAUCUCAUUGAGGUGGAGAUUUAGCCAUGGAAGGACUAUAGUAGCCAUGAAUCACAAACUAUAGUCAUAACCUGCAGAUGAAAAGAAGAGCUCACCUGCAGAUUGGGACCCUCGAUGUAGCCAUGGAAGGCUAGCCAUACAUGGUGGUGCUUCGAAGCCAAAACCCAAGGCAACAGUGGCAAGGUCCCGCCUAACAACGCCCCAUUUCCUCUUA
This 2720-nucleotide long non-coding RNA is filed under the name Triticum aestivum (bread wheat). Its description in RNAcentral is "long non-coding RNA (TAES_LNC004301)". The record is from RNAcentral. Lineage: Eukaryota; Viridiplantae; Streptophyta; Magnoliopsida; Poales; Poaceae.